GAAAUGCGAUAAGUAAUGUGAAUUGCAGAAUCCCGUGAACCAUCGAGUCUUUGAACGCAAGUUGCGCCCGAAGCCCUCGUGGCCAGGGCACGUCUGUCUGGGCGUCACGCACCGCGUCGCCCCCACCCCCCGCCUUCCGGAGGGGGGUGGGGGCGGAGACUGGCCCCCCGUGUGCCCCGAGGCACGCGGCCGGCCCAAACGCAGACCCCGCGGCCGCUGGACGGCGCGACGAUCGGUGGAGUAGGCCCUACGCAUCCC
This 258-nucleotide unclassified non-coding RNA is filed under the name uncultured fungus. RNAcentral's name for it is "sequence contains ITS1". The stretch from base 1 to 107 matches the Rfam family "5.8S ribosomal RNA", at positions 50 to 154 of the family's 154-position model. The record is from RNAcentral. Lineage: Eukaryota; Fungi.